Molecule: long non-coding RNA, 4174 nt
Organism: Gorilla gorilla gorilla (western lowland gorilla)
Lineage: Eukaryota; Metazoa; Chordata; Mammalia; Primates; Hominidae
Exons: 4
Source: RefSeq, a predicted model, not a curated record
CUUAAAUCUUUUGGCCCAGCUCCUACCUCCCGGCAGCCUUGCCAGGCCCAGAACUCUCUCCAGUCAGCCUCUACAGACCAAGCUCAUGACUCACAAUGGCCUAUUUAGGCCCAUACCCUACCUCACGGCAGUCUCCGCAGAUGAGCCUACUGCCUCACAACAGCCUCCACAGGCACAGCUCCAUCGUUCCAAUGGCCUCUUUAGACCCAGCUCCUGCCUCCCAGCCUUGUCUCCAGGCCCUGAACUUUCUCCGGUCUCCCUCUGUUGUCCAAGGCUGGAGGGUAGUAGUGCUAUCGCAGCUGACUGCAGCCUCAACCUUCCAGGCUGAAGCGAUCCUCCCAUCUCAACCUCCCACGUGGCUGAGACUACAGGUGCUUGCCACUACGCCCAACUAAUAUUUGGUUUUUUCAUAUACGUGGAUUCCAGAGGGGUGACAGCGAAACGUGAGUGGGACCAUCCAGUUUCAGGAAAACAAGCUUAACACGCCCACUGACUCUACAUUAUGAUUCUUCAGGCCCAGCAUCUGCCUCACUGUGGACCCCCCAAGCCAAGCUCCCAACCUUUCAGCAGCUUCUACACACCCAGCUCCCGCCUGCCAGUGGCCUCUUCAGGCCCAUGGGGCUCAUUCCUCACAACAGCCUUUCCAGUCCCAGUUUUUCCCUUCCGGCGGCCUCUCCGGGCUGAGAACCUCCUCAAGUCGGCCUCUCCUGACUCACUUGCACCCUCCAGGCGUCCUCUCCGGGCCAAGCUCCUCUUCCUGGCUGCGUCUCCAGGCCCGACUCCUGCCUCUCAACAACCUCUUUGGACUCAGUGCCUACCCAUCUCCUGGCGUCCUUGGUCGGCCCACAGCUUCCUCAAGCCAAGCUCCCCAGGCCCAGGUCAGGCCUCACGGUGCCCCCUCCACGAUGAGCUCCUGCCCUCCAAUGGCACCUGCAGGACCCAAAUGGUCUCCGGUCGGUGGACUCCUCCACGCCAAGCUUGGGCCUCCCGGUGACCUCUGCAGGCCCAAGUUGUCCUGAAGUCGGCAUCUCCCAGCCAUGCCUCCCAGCAAGUAAGCAAGCUCUUUUGGCUCAACUCCUGCCCAGCUCCCAACCGCCUUUGUAGGUCCCGAACUUUCUCCAGCCAAGUUCUUUGGGCCUCAUUCCUGCCGCCCGGUGGCCUGUACGGGCCCAGCAAUGGUUGGAGAACGGCCUCUGCAGGUCCCGCUCUUGCCUCCCAGGGGCCUCUCCAGGCCCAGCUCUUGCCCCCACGGCGGCCACCUGGGGCCAAGUCCCUGCCUGCCUCCCAGCAGCCCGCAUGCGGCCCAGCUCCUCCCUCAUGGUGGCCUGUUGAUGCUCAUGCCUCUGGUACCCUGCCCAGAGGCAUGAGCCCCUGCCACACACUGGCUCCUCCCACGCUGAGAGAGGUCAGCGUGAGCCCUUGCCUCACACCGGCCCCUCCCAUGCUGAGAGAGGUCAGCGUGAGCCCCUUGCCUCACACUGGCUCCUCCCACGCUGAGAGAGGUCAGCGUGAGCCCUUGCCUCACACCGGCCCCUCCCAUGCUGAGAGAGGUCGGCGUGAGCCCUUGACUCACACCGGCCCCUCCCACGGUGAGAGAGGUCAGCGUCAGCCCCUUGCCUCACCCCGGCCCCUCCCACGCUGAGAGAGGUCGGCAUGAGCCCCUUGCCUCACCCCGGCCCCUCCCACGGUGAGAGAGGUCGGCGUGAGCCCCUUGCCUCACCCCGGCCCCUCCCACGCUGAGAGAGGUCGGCAUGAGCCCUUGCCUCACACCGGCCCCUCCCACGGUGAGAGAGGUCAGCGUCAGCCCCUUGCCUCACACCGGCCCCUCCCACGCUGAGAGAGGUCAGCGUGAGCCCUUGACUCACACCGUCCCCUCCCACGGUGAGAGAGGUCAACGUGAGCCCCUUGCCUCACACCGGCCCCUCCCACGCUGAGAGAGGUCAGCGUGAGCCCUUGACUCACACCGUCCCCUCCCACGCUGAGAGAGGUCAACGUGAGCCCCUUGCCUCACACCGGCCCCUCCCACGCUGAGAGAGGUCAACGUGAGCCCCUUGCCUCACACCGUCCCCUCCCACGCUGAGAGAGGUCAACGUGAGCCCCUUGCCUCACACCGUCCCCUCCCACGCUGAGAGAGGUCAACGUGAGCCCCUUGCCUCACACGGGCCCCUCCCACGCUGAGAGAGGUCAGCGUGAGCCCUUGCCUCACACCGGCCCCUCCCACGCUGAGAGAGGUCAGCGUGAGCCCUUGCCUCACACCGGCCCCUCCCACGCUGAGAGAGGUCGGCGUGAGCCCCUUGCCUCACCCCGGCCCCUCCCACGCUGAGAGAGGUCGGCGUGAGCCCCUUGCCUCACACCGGCCCCUCCCACGCUGAGAGAGGUCGGCGUGAGCCCUUGCCUCACACCGGCCCCUCCCACGCUGAGAGAGGUCGGCGUGAGCCCUUGCCUCACACCGGCCCCUCCCACGCUGAGAGAGGUCGGCGUGAGCCCUUGCCUCACACCGGCCCCUCCCACGGUGAGAGAGGUCAGCGUCAGCCCCUUGCCUCACACCGGCCCCUCCCACGCUGAGAGAGGUCAGCGUGAGCCCUUGACUCACACCGGCCCCUCCCACGCUGAGAGAGGUCAGCGUGAGCCCUUGCCUCACACCGGCCCCUCCCACGCUGAGAGAGGUCAGCGUGAGCCCCUUGCCUCACCCCGGCCCCUCCCACGCUGAGAGAGGUUGGCGUGAGCCCUUGCCUCACACCGGCCCCUCCCACGCUGAGAGAGGUCGGCGUGAGCCCCUUGCCUCACACCGGCCCCUCCCACGCUGAGAGAGGUCGGCGUGAGCCCUUGCCUCACACCGGCCCCUCCCACAGUGAGAGAGGUCAGCGUCAGCCCCUUGCCUCACACCGGCCCCUCCCACGCUGAGAGAGGUCAGCGUGAGCCUUUGCCUCACACCGGCCCCUCCCACGCUGAGAGAGGUCAGCGUGAGCCCCUGCCUCAACAGGCCACCGUGAGGGAGGAGCAGGGUCGCACGCGGGCUGCUGUGAGGCAGGCAGCGACUUGGGCCUGGGAGGUCGUGGUGGGGUGAGAGCUGGGCUUGGAGACUCCCCUGGGAGGCAACCGCGGGGCCUACAGACUCUGUUCUCCAGCCGGAGCUGGGACUGUUCAGGUACUGGGAGGUGGGAUGUGGGUCUGAAGAGCUUGGUUGCAGAAACUUCGGGGUCUACAAACGCAGGUGGGAGCUGAGCCAAAAAAGCUUGUUUGCUGGGAGGCGGGAGAUGCAGCCAGGAGAAACAGCUGUGCCUGCAGAGGCCGCCAUGCGGGAGGCGGAGGCCGGGCCUCCUCAAAUCGGCCUCUCCAGACCCACUUGCAGCCUCCCGGCAUCCUCUCCGGGCCCAGCUCUUCCUCCUGGCUGCGUCUCCAGGCCUGACUCUGGCCUCCCAACAACGUCUUUGGACUCAGCUCCUGCCCAGCUCCCAGCAGGCCCAAGUUGUCGUCAAGUCGGCCUGGAAUUGGGCCCGGAAGAGCAGCAAGUCGGCCUCCCUGGGCCCAGCUCCGUCCUCUAGGCGGCCUCUCCAGGUGCAAAACUUCCUCGAGUCAGCCUCUCCAGGCCCAGCUCCUCCUGCCUCCCAGUGGCCUCUUUCAGCCCAGACCAGCUCAUGGCUCUUGGCGGCCUUCCCAGGCCCCGCUUUUGACUUUUGGUGGCCUCUUCAGGCCCAGAACUUGACCUCCAGUGGGCCUUUGCAGGCCCGGCCUCCUGCCUCUCGAAGGCCUGCAGGGGCCCGGACUCACAGCGGACUCACAGCGGACUCUCCAUGCCCAGCUAGCUCUCGCCUCAUUGUGGCCUCCCGAGUCCAAAGCUCCUGCCUCUCGGCCGCUUCGGCAGGCCCAGCUCCCGCCUGCCAGUGGCCUCUUUAGGCCCAGCUCGUUCCUCACAACGGCCUUCCCAGGCCCCGUUUUUCCCUUCUGGCAGCCUCUUGGCCUCUAAUUUGUUUAUCUUUUGUGUAUAAAUCCCAAAAUAUUGAAUUUUGGAAUAUUUCCACCAUUAUGUAAAUAUUUUGGUAGGUGAUUUAUUUGGGGUGAGUUUCUGCACCAAGCCCGAAUUUUUUAUUUUAUUUUCCUUAUUAUUUGGUGUUAAACAGGUUUAAUGACGGUCAUGGCAACUGUUUGGCACAAUGAAAAAUAUCGCCCAUGA